AGAGAGAGAGAGAGGGAGGCAGAGGGAAACGUGCUUGAGAAGUUCUGAACUUUAGCACCUGACUUUUUAGGCAGGAGCAAACCCAUCCCAUCCCUGAGCCAGCCCUGGGAAGCGCCGCUCUGCCCUGGACCCACCUCUCCCAGCGCUUCUUUCUCUUUCGCUCUCUCCCCGCCCGGCUCGCAGCGAAGCCCGUGCAGCCGCAGCUCCGACUCUGGCUUCGCUUUUUCUCUCUCUCUUUUAUUUUUCCUCUCUUUUUUUUCCUCCGUUUUUUACUUUUCUUCUUUCAUUUUCCCUCCUUCCCUUCCCCCCUUCCCCCCCUUUUUUUUUCUGUUUUUGUCGCCGCGGUUGUUUGUUUGUUUAUUUAUUUGCUCAAUUUGCACCUGAGCAGCUCCGGUGCCUUAAGCCCGGUGAGAACUUGUGCCAUUCGCUGCGCCGCAGCCUACGGCCGCUCUGAUUGCUCAUUAAUUAUUAUGCAACCGGGAAAAGGGAGGAAGAAAGGGAAAAGAGAGGAAAGGAAAAAAAAUACAAGAGGAGGGGGGAAAGCGACAGAGAAGAAGGUGGGGGUGCGAGGGCAAAAGGAGAAGGAAACCGGAGGGGGAAAAAAAAAAAAAAAAAAAACCAAGUUGCAAAAGAAAUUCCGCACAAACCUUGGUGGAGGAGCAGUGUGUGACCCAGGAGGGAUGAAGCUGAAAGUGCUUGAUCGGAUCGGAUUGUGCUCUCUCGCUCUCCCUAUUUUUUUUUCCCCUUUUUUUUUUUUCUUUCCUCCCUCUCUCUUUUUUUUUUUUUUUUUUUUUUUUUUUUUUUUUUUUUUUUUACAGGGAAGGCAUUCUUUCUGAAAGGAGCAGGAUGGCGCCAGCCGGCUCAGUGCUUACAGACAGCUGUGGCGAGACGCAACUUAAGGAGGUUCCAGUGUCAUAAGCACGGGGGAGGCGGAGCCUGGCCCAGGCCACGAAACUUUGGGAGCUGAGGGCGGCCCGGGUGUCGCUCCCGGACGCUGUGCGAUGCACGGGGGUCGUUCCUCCCGCCUCCCCCCGCCCAUCCCAAUGGAUGCGGAACUUCAGGAGUGGCCGUAGCCCCGGCAGGUGCAACAUCUCCGGGAAAUAAAGCCGUGCCUCCUCGUGCUUAGAGCC
Long non-coding RNA from Gallus gallus (chicken), 1130 nucleotides. RefSeq lists it as uncharacterized. The transcript is spliced from 2 exons. NCBI's taxonomy places the organism in Eukaryota, Metazoa, Chordata, Aves, Galliformes, Phasianidae. The record is from RefSeq and is a predicted model, not a curated record.